Molecule: long non-coding RNA, 913 nt
Organism: Lathyrus oleraceus (garden pea)
Lineage: Eukaryota; Viridiplantae; Streptophyta; Magnoliopsida; Fabales; Fabaceae
Exons: 2
Source: RefSeq, a predicted model, not a curated record
UUAUUGUCAUUGUUUGUAAAAUUAGAAAAACCUAGUUAGUUUUGUAUUAUUUUGAAAAAACCCAAAAAGUAGCGCCAUUUUUAUUCUCUCUCAAUUCAAAAUUAACACCUCAAAUAGACCCACCAACACCGUAAACAAAAAGUGCAAAAAACUCAAACACAGGAAAGGGAUCCUUUUUUUUGUGGGAACCACCUUACCUUUUGGUUUUUGUUUUUUUACACCAUAAACCACCUUAAAACUCCACCUACAAAACCACACAUAACGACUCUUGAAUAGAUAGAAAAAAGGAGCACCAUAACAAUCACUAACAGAGGGCGACACCAACCAUACACACAAAAUAAAAACCUUUCAAAACCCAGUUUUUCAUGGCCAUGUAAAAAUGUUACAUCUCUUAUAUUUUCAUGAUAUCAUCUCUCUCUCACACACACAUUAACAAUACACCAUAAAAACCCAUGAAACACCUCUCUUCCAAGCAAAGAAAACAGUAGAUACAAACUCCCUUCAACACCUCCACACGAAAGAAAUCUGACGCGACCACUACCGUUCUACUUCAUCACUCACGACGACAACAAACUUCGACGAGAUAUCAACUACUCAAAAAAUAAAGGAUACUCAAGAGUAGUAUUGCUGAAGUAAGUGGAAGGUAGCUCAUUCGAAAUUUAGCCGGAGAGCUUCCGUAUUCUAGUUUGGAGACUAGGUAGUGAGUCAAUGCUCUGGUCAUGUAACACGGGGUAGAUUAGUAGUAUUGAACUCAUAUCUUAUUUGGAUACGUAUUAUGUUAUUACUUGUGAACAUGUUUGAUUGCAAUUGCUGUUUGAGAUGCCAUAGUGCCAAAUAUUCUGGAUAUGGUUUUAGUUUAUCUUGAAGAGAUUAUUGAGAGAUGAUCAUGGUAUGGGACAUGAAUAAUUUUAUG